GAUGCUUCCCUUCCAGGGAAGAAUGAGCAAGAAAUCAUUGGAGUUCUGGACAAAAGUGAUGGAAACAGGUAUUCGUGGACAGACUCUAAUGUGUCAAGAAACAGGACAUCUGAGACUCAAAGAGAUUCAUUCCCUGGUCUUGAAGACACAGUUUACGACGACAUUGAAGAGACGGGACCCUGAUCAAGAUCGCUGAGCAGUACUGAAUACUUUUGGACGUACUCCCCUGUUCAUAAAAUGCUAAUCAUGUACUAUCAGAACCAGAACAACCUGCAUUUAAAAUUAGUUUUCAUAAGUUUUGUUUAUUUGCAGAAAAGUGAUUACAUAUUUAGAAGAAAUACAAGCAUUAUCUUGGUUAGACAGUUUUUCAAGCUUCUCCUAACUACCUGGGCACUUUUUUUUUAUUAUUAUUUCUAAAUAGUUUCAUUGCUUCUUUUUCCUUUUUUUUUUUUUUUUUUUAAACUGAGGUAAUUUUUCAACCAUGAUAUUUUCUUAUUAAAACUGUUUAAAGAUCUUUUCUCAAAUGUAUGUUACUCCUCGCGGAUACACUUCAGUGUAUUAGGAAUUUUGAUUAUUAGGAAUUGAGACUGAACUGCAAGAAGAUCAUCAAAGCUGUGUUUAAUCUUUUGGAUAUUCUUAUUUGUCACAUAGAAUGUGAGAGCCAGAAUUAAUGCUAGGUAGCACUUUGUGAGAUAACAAAUUAAACGAGAGGUUAUUCUUGUCCUCACUUUAAAUGCAGGGCUGUCAUUUGAACUACAUGCAAGUGAAUUACAAUUUGGACUGGGUGGAAAAACUCCUCUUUUCUCCCUCUACACCAUGAUGAAUUAUUGUCUCCCAAAAUCGUAUCAAUUAUACAGUAAUAGAAAGUAUAAUUUCUUUCAACAUAUGACAAAUAGUGGUCAUAUCUAUAGGUUUCCAUCGUGUCAUUUAUUUUCAUCAUGUGAAGGCAGACUGCAAAAGUCCACAAGUUGAUGGAGUAGAAGUACUGUUGUCUUGGCUCCUAAUAAAAUUUCUUUCAGGUUUUGAAAGAAAAAGCUUCCCCUGAAAUCUGCUAUCUAUAUUGGUGUACUGGUUUUGGCUGGACUAGAGUUAGUUUUCAUCAUUGUAGCAAACAUGGUGAGGUGUUUUGGAUUUGUCAUGAAAAGCAGUAUUGCUAACACAUUAAUGUUUUAGUUUCUGCUGAGCAGUGCUUACACAGCAUUAAUGUCUUUGCAUCUCAUGCUGCCCUGCCAGCAAGGAGGCUGGGAAUGCACAAGAAGCUGAGAGAGGACAAAACCAGAACUGAUUCAAACUGACCAAAGGACCUUUUUAUACUGUAUGAUGUUAUGCUCAGCAAUAAAACUGGGGGGAAAGAAGGAAGAAGAGGGAAUGUUCCGAGUUAUGGUGUUUGUCUUUCCAAGUAACAAUUAUGUGUGAUGGGCCUUGCUUUCAUGGAAAUGGCUGAACAUCUGCCCAUGCUUAGAGACACGGUUACUGCCCGUGCUUAGGGACAUGGUUUAGUCGGUGAUACUGGUGAUAGAGUGAUGGUUGGACCAGAUGAUCUGGGAGGUCUUUUCCAACCUUAAUGAUUCUAUGAAAAUCUGAGCCCCACCUUUCCAAUAGCCACUCCCAUGCCACCCAACAAAGCUGCAUUUGCAUAGAGGAUGCCACUGUAAAGAUAUGUCUAGAUGAUAUAUCCAUAAGAGUCAACAUAAUGAAGAUGAGACUCUCAUUUACAUAUAAAAACAACAGUUGUUCUAGCUAGCAUGGUACAUAACAAAGUGUGAGUUUGUCCCAAACAGCAGGGAAGACAAACAGACAAGUAGAUC
Molecule: long non-coding RNA, 1808 nt
Filed under: Anas zonorhyncha (Eastern spot-billed duck)
Lineage: Eukaryota; Metazoa; Chordata; Aves; Anseriformes; Anatidae
Description: lncRNA (ENSAZOG00000014229.1)
Source: RNAcentral